GAGCUGGUUUAGCUCAGUGGUUACUUCUCGGCAAUUUCAAGCUUUACUCUCGCAAGAGGGAUCGAACCACGGGCGCUGUCCAGCUUUUUU
Molecule: vault RNA, 90 nt
Filed under: Amphilophus citrinellus (Midas cichlid)
Lineage: Eukaryota; Metazoa; Chordata; Actinopteri; Cichliformes; Cichlidae
Description: Vault RNA (ENSACIG00000009967.1)
Rfam family: Vault RNA
About the family: This family of RNAs are found as part of the enigmatic vault ribonucleoprotein complex. The complex consists of a major vault protein (MVP), two minor vault proteins (VPARP and TEP1), and several small untranslated RNA molecules. It has been suggested that the vault complex is involved in drug resistance.
Source: RNAcentral